RNAcentral lists this ribosomal RNA (500 nucleotides) under Pseudomonas putida. Its description in RNAcentral is "bacterial SSU rRNA". It matches the Rfam family "Bacterial small subunit ribosomal RNA", at positions 147 to 639 of the family's 1533-position model. The record is from RNAcentral. Lineage: Bacteria; Pseudomonadati; Pseudomonadota; Gammaproteobacteria; Pseudomonadales; Pseudomonadaceae.
CGUUUCGAAAGGAACGCUAAUACCGCAUACGUCCUACGGGAGAAAGCAGGGGACCUUCGGGCCUUGCGCUAUCAGAUGAGCCUAGGUCGGAUUAGCUAGUUGGUGGGGUAAUGGCUCACCAAGGCGACGAUCCGUAACUGGUCUGAGAGGAUGAUCAGUCACACUGGAACUGAGACACGGUCCAGACUCCUACGGGAGGCAGCAGUGGGGAAUAUUGGACAAUGGGCGAAAGCCUGAUCCAGCCAUGCCGCGUGUGUGAAGAAGGUCUUCGGAUUGUAAAGCACUUUAAGUUGGGAGGAAGGGCAGUAAGCUAAUACCUUGCUGUUUUGACGUUACCGACAGAAUAAGCACCGGCUAACUCUGUGCCAGCAGCCGCGGUAAUACAGAGGGUGCAAGCGUUAAUCGGAAUUACUGGGCGUAAAGCGCGCGUANGUGGUUCGUUAAGUUGGAUGUGGAAAGCCCCCGGGCUCAACCUGGGAACUGCAUCCAAAAACUGGGCG